CCAAAAAACAAAAAAAGAAGAAGAAGCACAACUAUGGCAAGCUGAAUAGGCAAUCAAAUUAGCUUUGGCAUUCAUUAUAAUUUAUGCAAAUUAGUGGAGCUCCAUAAACAUCACUUGUCAUACCACUUAACUUGUAUUGCUUCUUAUUGAACUAAGCAAAAGGUCAUCGAUACAUACAAUACCAAAUAUGACAGCCAAGCUCAGGAAAUCUUAUGUUUGUGAACUCAGAAAUACAUAUCGUAUUAAAUGGAGGGCAAUCUCAGAUAUAGGCUUGAAUUUUGGCCCCUCUUCCUGAGGGAGUGAUUCAAAUUAACCACAUGAUGGCGACUGUAAUAUCUAUUUUUUAAAAUCUGUAUAAAAAGCCUUCUACAACAUCAGGUCAGCAUCCCUGCUGGAAAUGCCUUAUGAAAUCAACUUUAGCUAGAGAGCAAUUCUUGUACAUUUUGUGUUGCCAAAGUUCCUUUUAGGAAGAACUUUCUUUUUGCCUUAAUCAAAUAGAAGAACCAGUAUGAGGCUUAAGCAGACUCCAAAAUCUGCAUCUUCACUCAGGAAGAAAAUUUCUAUCUGCAACUGCAUGCAUAGAUUUUUCUAGAUAACUAAACAUAUAAACUGGAUUAGAAUUCUAAUUGAGCUUAUUAUACCAAAUUCCCAGACUUUCUAAAUAAAAUAUUACAGGCUCCGUUCGGUACAACAAUUAAAAAAUAUAUCACUAACUUUGAUCUUAAAAGAACCAGAUUUUCCAAAUACCAAAACUUAAUUUGCACAUGCUACAGAAAAAUCAUUAAUUUUCUUCCCUUGCAUAUCAAUGUUUCCAAUUGUGCCAAAAAAAAAAAAAAAAAAAGAUUACGAAGUAACCACUUCGCUAAAUUGCCCACCAGAACCUCAAGAAAAAAGCAAAACAAUGAAAAGUUUCUCAGAAAAUCUGCAUUCGAAUUAUUAACUCCAUCAAUCCAAAGACUGAGCAACUAUAAGAUCACAAUCUGGAGGAAACUAAAAUUCAUGGUAACAGUUUUUGUUCAGAAGCAAGACACCAUCACUAAUCUAACAUAACUUUGACAUUUAUAAUUUUGCAAGGUUCAGAACUAAAAUUUUUUGUCCAGAUUGAGCACACAGACCAACAACAUGACAUAAGUACUAAGGGUGGCAAUUGGGCAGGUCAAUAUUGGGUUUUAAUCAAGUGGGUCAUAACCCAAGCCACCAACUAUGAAGUGGGUUAAUCUUGGGUUGGGUCUAGUUGGGUCAACACAAAACCCAUAGACCCAACUAUGACCCACCAUACAUUACUAUGCACUGUCAACAUUCACACUGUUACAUUCAUAAACACAUCAUUUAACACACGUUCGCUUGGAAAAAAUACCUGCACUCUGUCCGACACAGUUUACUACUCACACACACACACACACACAGAGACCAGAUUUUCACAUUUCAUUCAUCUGUAAAGCCUUUUGUAUUGCAUUUGAUCCAUCCAUUAAUAUGGGGGCUAGCAAUUCUGGUUUGACGAAAAAUAAUUUACUGAAUUACCUUGGCUUUACCACUUUUCCUGUUUCCACAAAUGGAAAAAGAAAAGAAGAAAACAAACAAAUCGGAAAAAGUCAGAGAGUUUCAAGAGAGAAGUAGCUACUUGCAUAUGGAAGAAGCCAAGUAAGUAGAGAAAGAGUCAAUGGUAGCCAGAAUUUGAUCUAAAGAGACUGCAAUAAACAUGGAUCAGGAAAUGGUGGUUCAGGUGUAUGGUACUUUGGAAUUUGUUUUAGUAUUUCGUUUGCCUCUGACAAAAGGCUCCUGAAACCCGAAUCAGCUUGGCAAUGGCAAUUGGUGUGUGAUUUUUUAUUUGCUCUUAUGAAUACUUGGAUUUUAUAUUUGACUUAUUUGGCUGCCCAAUUAAAAAUCCAACCCACUUGGAAAAGAUUUGGGUUUCUUAUACCCAAAACCCAUAACCCAACUGACCCAACCUUCUGUAUUUGCAGGUGGCUUGGGCAGGUUGUUGGGUUCAGGUUUAAUUUGCCAGCCAUAAGACUCCGGAACACUGCCAUCAAGCUUCCCUUCCCAAAACCUGCCCUACAGAUGAAAACCUACAUGUCAUAAAUGAUAGAAAUAAUGGCUAACAACAAACUGCGUCCAAGGAAAUUACAUUUUGACUGCACAUUUUAGCAAAACACCCUUCCAAAGGCCUGAAACAAGCAGGACUUAAAGCUUGAACAAGACCUCACUCUUUUCCUUGAGAAUAGUAUAUUCUGAUUCUACAACCCCCCCAACCCCAAAAAAAAAAAAAAGAGCAACCCCUUUCUUCCCCCUUUAUGUCUGAUAACAGAGUUGAAAAUGACUUGGAAAACAGUAUAUUCAUCUUAUGCAAGGGCAAAAAUAAAAGCUCGUAUCUCACCAAAGGAUGCCAAGUCUCAAGCAAAAGUGGCAUGGCAUUAAAACCUUUCAAAUACUCUCAUGUUUUUAAUCCUUCUAUUUGUUCUUUUUCUGUUAGCAUCUUUAUUCCUUCUUUGAAUUAUGGAACUUGUCCAUGACAAAAGAAGUCCCUCCAAUAUGAGGAAACAUUUGCUCACACAACCACUAGCAUUACGAAGAUACACAUUGAUUUCAGAUGGGUGCAUCCCACCAUCUUAGCUAUUGUAAGAAUAAAUCACGUUAACUAAACCAUGAAAAAAAAAGGAACUUAUUAAAAAUCAAAUCAAAACCAGAACCUCCUAGAGCUGACCAUCAAGUGUUCCUAUUUUAAAUUUUGUACAGGUUAAUUUUCAGUUUGUCUUAUAAUGUAGCACAGAACUCCUUCCCCUAAGAUAUGCUUCUUAGACAGAUUAAAUUUUCCGGGCACAACAAAAGGAUAGUGGAGAUAAUAAAUUUGAAACUCAACAGGCAUCAAAAUAGGCAAUAUGCAUAUUCAGCAUUCAAGACCAUCAGUCAUCAGGAUAAAAAGAAUUCAACGCAAUAGGGAAAGGACAUGUCAAGACAUUCAAGUGAUAAAGAAGCAAGAAUACUUGAGACUUAAUGCAUUUGCCAUCAGAAACCAAAAGGACAAAAUCCUUUCAUUUCCUUUCAUGGGGACAAGCAUUAAUCUCCUUAUAUAUACUGAACAUAGUUCAAUUACAAUAUGCUAGUAGAGGAAUCUCAGGGACAAAAUUACAUUACCUAGUUCAGUAAAACCAGGCUCAAUUUUAGCCUGAUGUAGAAGGGUAUUGACAACUUCCUUCUGGCUCAUGUAAAGCUGAAGACAUCUUUCAAUAAGAUUUUGCACCUGCCAUCAAAGAUAUACGUGUAAAAAUGACACACCUUGAAGACAGGCAUCUAAAAGUAGGAAUUAAAAGAGUCCAUUAAACUAGAAGUCAUUUGGUCUCAUUCACAUGGAAAGAAACACAUGAUAAAACAGUCAAGACACUAGUCAUACCUUAGGAUGGUUAAGCUCGACUGCCUUAUGAUCUAAGUGGCAAAUGGCUAAAUGACAGAUGCAUAAAACAAGAUGUCUUUGUCAAGAAAAUUCAACAGUACAAUUACUUGGUGCCAGCUCCACUUUGUCAUUAUUUUUCACAAUUCCUCCUUUUCAGAAAAGUAGGUCGACAAAAAAACUCCCCCCAAAAUUAUUUUAAAAAAAAGGAAAAAUCCCAAAGAAGGCCAAAACAAGGAAGGAAAAGUGAAGCACAUCAGUGAAUGAAAUGUAAAGCUUGCAGAGAGUCUAAAUUAUAAAAAAAAAGAAAUUGACUCUUUACUUAGCUCAUUUGCAUAUCUAACUUGUGUCAAUUUCAAAUGUGCUUCAGCUUAAACGCAAGACUAAUCUCCUAAAGGAGCACAGCAGGGGUGAAAUUUUUAAGUCAUGGCUUUGUUCACACGAUAAUGUACACAAUAUCAUACAAAGUUGUAUACAUCUGAAUAUGUGAUAUUUCACUUUAACAUCGCAGCAGUAUGUAUGAAAGCCAUGCAAUACAAGGGCAGAAAGUAUCCUUCAAAAGAGUGGAAAAAGUAACACAUUCAACCACAGGUACAAUGAUAGCCGAAAUAUUCUUCUAAAGUGCAGAAAAUGCGAGAUGUGCUCAAGCUGGUGCUCAUACACUAAUUGAAUAAGCUAAGUUUGGGUCACUGCAUACUGACUAUAAACAAAAAAUUCACCAUAAAGCCACAGUUUAAAACUUCAGGGACCAAACCAAUAAAUAAAUAACUAAUCAGAAUUGAAGCUUGAUGCUAGAGAUUGUCUAUGACUCCUGGAACAAGUUGGGAACAAUAUGCACAUCCUAAACAGUCGCACAAAGUUCAAAGAAGUGAUUCAACACUGAUUCAAGCCAAACCAGACACUUUAGGAGGAAAAGAUUCCCCAAAAAAAAAAAAGAGAGAAGAGUAAAUCAUACAGUAAGUCCUACAAGGGAGAUAUAUUUAUGAUUCAGAUAUACCACGACCAUCAAUUGACUAUGUAGAAUUAACUCCUUAGCAAAUAAAUGGGUAAGAAACCUGAAGCCUAAAACCUGAACAACUUACCAACUGUAUAUCUUCACGUGUAACUUUUGUAUCCUCUCCACUAGCCAUAAUUCAAGUUUCCAGCUGGAUGAAUGCUGCAAAUAUUUUAACGUCCUUUACCUUACAUACCAGGGUAUUAAUGAACCAAUUUGUGUUCCAAUGUCCUUGAUGCAAAUCCAGACAACCAACUGUAUACCACCUGCUAUUCAUGUAUUCCACAGUAAAAUGCACUAUUCCAAAGCAAAUCCACAUUAUUCAUUAAUAACGGAAUAAGUGUAGCUGAUAUGAGCAUAGCAACAAAGAUAACAUGGAUCACAAAAUCAUUAUGAAUCAACCCAUGCUCAACAUCCUUGAUUUUGCAUCAGAAACAAACAUGCCAAUUACUUAGUCCUAAAAGACGAGAGCAAUUGGAACGUCAUCACUGAAAAUGUAAAAAGAGGUGGCAUCAUUAUGUUCUGUUUUUGGUUAGUCCUAUAAGACAAAAGAGAAAUUGGAUGCAACACUGAAAAUGUAAAAAGAGGUGGCAUCAUCAUGUUCUGUUUUUGGUUAGUCCUAUAAGACAAAAGAGAAAUUGGAUACAACACUGAAACUGUAAAAAGAGGUGGCAUCAUAAUGUUCUGUUUUUGGUUAGUUAAAAUAACUGAUCCCGCUGCAAUCUAACUUGGAAUUGAUCUGAUCAGAUUUUAUAUCUGCAAGUCCAUUACUCAAGCCCAUUAAAAUUUCAUCAUCAUUUCAAACGUCAAAGAAGACAUUUAAAGCACUAUUUAUUCCAACAUUUGAAGCACCACUUAAUCCUAAACCAAAGACAUAAAAAAUAUCUUUGAUUUCAUUUUGUUGUCCCCUUAUGCUUGUGGGAUGUCUUUAUUUGAAUUGUCGAGAAAAUACAAGAGUGCUCCGUUAAUUAACCUUAGGAUGUGACACGUAUGCAGGUACUGUUUCUUAGAUAGAUUUUUCAUUUUCAGAAUAAAGACAAAGAAAAACUCAUUUUUUCCUUUUCAAUUUUCCUCCUUUUUAUUAAAUGUCCCACACUAAUUGUCCAAAUGCAAAUAAUCAUAAAAGUUGGAAGUCAAACGUUAACAGUGCUUUUUACUUGCAUGUAAGAGAUUUUGGAAAGAUUACCUACAAAAACAUCUUUUGGAUGACACGACAUGCAAUAAAUGUACUUCUACUUAAAAAUCUGGGGUUCCCAUAGAGUACAAUAAAAUCAGUACCGAAGAAUACUAGCAAGCCUUUUAAGCGACGUUGGAUAACAAAAAAAAAAACAGAUGGCAUGAUGCCUAAGACCUGGUUAUUCCAUCAUUAACCUGAUUACUUUCCUAUAAAAAUCAUAAAUCUGAAUCAAAACUGGAUUCUAUAUCUUCAAACUUGAAUUGAUUACACAUCUUACAACAUAUAGUGUUCUUUCUUUCACUCUUCAUAGAUACCUAACCCCACCUAAAGAAUGUACACUUCGUUUUCUUUCAAUUCGAUUAAAAUCUUGUGAUAAACCAUAAGGUCCCGAAUUUUCUUUUCCUGGCUACAUCACAGUUUUCCUUUUACUCUUCCAAUUUAAUCCUGGGUUCUUUUUUCCUGACAUGUAAACAAAACCCCCGCCACGGUACAAUCACCCAUCAGCACUUCACAUACCUAACCAAGGAAUAAGACUUUUAAUGCUCAUAACAAUAUCCUCAAUCUUCCGUCAUAUUUCCAUCAUGGUUCUCACAAGUGCCCGUUUCUCAAGUUUUAUCCACAGUUUUCAGUCUUUAACUCCCUCGAAAUUAAUAUUCAAUGAACUUAACAAACAUCAAUCCUUAUCCAGUAUUUAAAUACACAUAUACAGCAAGGAAAUCCAGGGGAUUUGGGGGAUAGGAAAUACAACCACAGCACAAGCAAAGUCAUAUGCUCUCCAUGCAAAUAAAUCAAUGAGAACCAUGGAAAACAACCCAUAAAACACAAUUAAAAUCAUGCUAUGGGCCUUUUUUGUUUCUCUCCGCUCAAGUAUAUGAAGAUAACAACCUACUAAUCAUACAAGACUAUAAAUUUCAUACAUGCAAUACUUUUAGGCCCACAAUCAGGUACUGCCACCUUCUUUCACUAUAUAUAGGUUUCAGAAUGACAAACACACUACAGUUGAAUAAUCAAACAUCCAAAAAAACAAUAAAAUUCACAAAGAAUCACUUUUUCCAAUCAAAAUUCUUUGAAUAAUUCAGGUUUCAGAAUCAUAACCAAAACAAAAAUCAAACAACCAAACAUCAAAUCAACUUCACAAGAAAUCAUACCUUUCACACAAGCAAACACAAAUAAACCUGAUUAAUUACAAAUACAAAACCCUAGAAACUCCUCAAAUUCUUGUACACAAGACUCCUAUGCAAUUAAAUUAACCUCGCGCAUGCAAACAUGUGUCUACGUAAAAUUUAACGAUCAUAGAACAAAAGAUUUUGUUCAACAA
This 6877-nucleotide long non-coding RNA is filed under the name Coffea arabica (coffee). Its description in RNAcentral is "long non-coding RNA (CARA_LNC004592)". Lineage: Eukaryota; Viridiplantae; Streptophyta; Magnoliopsida; Gentianales; Rubiaceae. The record is from RNAcentral.